UCUCCGUUGGUGAACCAGCGGAGGGGUCAUUACCGAGUUAUCAACUCCCAAACCCCUGUGAACAUACCCAACGUUGCUUCGGCGGGACCGCCCCGGCGCCCUCGGCGUCCCGGAACCAGGCGCCCGCCGGAGGACCCAAACUCUUGUCUAAACCAUAGUGGCAUAUUCUGAGUCUCACAAGAAAAAUGAAUCAAAACUUUCAACAACGGAUCUCUUGGCUCUG
This 223-nucleotide unclassified non-coding RNA is filed under the name plant metagenome. Its description in RNAcentral is "partial contains small subunit ribosomal RNA, internal transcribed spacer 1, and 5.8S ribosomal RNA". The record is from RNAcentral.